Molecule: ribosomal RNA, 440 nt
Filed under: uncultured bacterium
Lineage: Bacteria
Description: bacterial SSU rRNA
Rfam family: Bacterial small subunit ribosomal RNA
Source: RNAcentral
CCUACGGGUGGCAGCAGUCGAGAAUUUUUCUCAAUGGGGGAAACCCUGAAGGAGCGACGCCGCGUGGAGGAUGAAGGCUUUCGGGUUGUAAACUCCUGUCAUUUGGGAACAAAGUCCGCCUCUGGCGGAUGUGAUAGUACCAGAAGAGGAAGAGACGGCUAACUCUGUGCCAGCAGCCGCGGUAAUACAGAGGUCUCAAGCGUUGUUCGGAUUCAUUGGGCGUAAAGGGCGCGUAGGCUGCGGGGUAAGUCGGGUGUGAAAUCUCAGAGCUCAACUCUGAAAUUGCACUUGAUACUGCUCUGCUAGAGGACUGGAGAGGAGAUUGGAAUUCACGGUGUAGCAGUGAAAUGCGUAGAUAUCGUGAGGAAGACCGGUGGCGAAGGCGGAUCUCUGGACAGUUCCUGACGCUGAGGCGCGAAGGCCAGGGGAGCAAACGGGAU